UGCCUUGUGGUGUAACGGUAGCACGCGAGUUUCUGGCACUCUUAGUGAGGGUUCGAGUCCUUCCAAGGCAACAA
This 74-nucleotide transfer RNA is filed under the name Prevotella sp. CAG:485. Its description in RNAcentral is "transfer RNA-Gln(CTG)". It matches the Rfam family "tRNA". From Rfam's summary of the family: Transfer RNA (tRNA) molecules are approximately 80 nucleotides in length. Their secondary structure includes four short double-helical elements and three loops (D, anti-codon, and T loops). The record is from RNAcentral. Lineage: Bacteria; Pseudomonadati; Bacteroidota; Bacteroidia; Bacteroidales; Prevotellaceae.